AGCACCGCCGCGGUAACACGUAGGGUGCAAGCGUUAAUCGGAAUUACUGGGCGUAAAGCGUGCGCAGGCGGUUUUGUAAGACAGAGGUGAAAUCCCCGGGCUCAACCUGGGAACUGCCUUUGUGACUGCAAGGCUAGAGUACGGCAGAGGGGGAUGGAAUUCCGCGUGUAGCAGUGAAAUGCGUAGAUAUGCGGAGGAACACCGAUGGCGAAGGCAAUCCCCUGGGCCUGUACUGACGCUCAUGCACGAAAGCGUGGGGAGCAAACAGGAUUAGAUACCCCCGUAGUCCCUGUCUCUUAUACA
This 303-nucleotide ribosomal RNA is filed under the name uncultured bacterium. RNAcentral describes it as "partial 16S ribosomal RNA". It matches the Rfam family "Bacterial small subunit ribosomal RNA", at positions 510 to 808 of the family's 1533-position model. The record is from RNAcentral.